GGGAAUUAUCUCCAAGACAGAGCGAGAGUGGCGCCAGACCGGGCUAGAGCAACGGCCAGAGGAGAAGCGUGCUAAACCAGCGCCUCCUUUCCCCGGCUUGCGCGCGUUUUAUCACGUGACCACCUAUAGAUACUUGGGGCACCCAUCCAGGCACUAUACAUCUCGGCUCGCCCUCGUACACUUCCUUUAACGCGCACAGCUAACGGCGCAGGAUAGGAUCUUAUCGCACUUUAUACGUAAGCUCACGGCAACACCGACAGAUAUAUUUCGGCGGUUGUGUCCAUAUAAUUGCUAUCGCAAAAUUCGCAAUACAUAGAAAAUUUUACUAAGGACCAACCACGCUGCUGCCAUGUCGUGAUAGAGCGGUGAACGAUAGUUCUAGAAAAUGUGUUGCUAAAUCUCCGCCAAAUGACUAUACGCUCGCAUUUGGUGAGAGCGGCACACAGUCGCAAGAACUUGUGGAGGAAAUACCGGAGUUCUGGCAGCUUCAGGUGCACUAGAUCAUUCAGUAACAUGGGCGGCUUUGUAGUUCUACCUUACAUCAGAGCAAACUGCACUCGACAGAAAUCAAGGGCAGCCGCACCGUUAUAGCUAAGCAAAUUAAGGACAAUUACGCCGCGUCUUCAGACUUCGAGCACGCUCCGACAGCCCAGCGAUAGAUAUUUAAAACACAACCACACUCGGACGAGAAAAUUUUGCUUCUGCCAAGUGAACGUAGCGGGUAUUUCAAGACGCGUGUUAAAUUCAUGGCUGUUUCAUUCGUAAACAUUACUUAAGUGACGUAAAAUUAUCAGUGAGCAAAACAGUUUUUAUUUCAACGCAAGGAAACAAAACCGAAACUAGCGCAACUGUUUUGCCCAGUUGUGCAGAUACAAAAUGAUCCAAAGCCGAAGCCGUCAAUAGCAUGACGCCAUUUUGAACUUGUGCUGCAUCACGCGCGAGUACGUUGUCGUUGAGUGGUUCUGAAAUCGCUGCGUUAAGGGCGACUGCAACCAAGCGUUGUGGCAAGUUACGGUGGGAGCUUCUGUCCGUGCUGUGUGAUUGCGACGAGGGGACCGCCGCCAGCAGCAGCGUAUCGCCGAUAAGCGCCCGAAGUGCUGCGGUUUGCACUGCAUCUUUCAUUGUGAUAUGGGAGAUCGCAACGGACAGAGACGACCAGAUGCAUACGAACGACUACCAGCGGGGAGUGACCUGUGCCAUAUUUCUCUUAACGUCUCAGGUAUUCAAGAAAUGGCAACAGCCAGAAGUCACCAUCUUACCAGCACGUUAUGGGUACACUCUGGCGGCUCCUACCCCUGUGUCCUCCCACCACCCUGUCCUGACUACGUCCACUAGGUAGUUGGGAGCCUUUGGCGGCUUCUGCCACUGUAUCCUGCCGCCACCAUGUCCCGACUAUGUCCACUAGGGAGUUGGCAGCCUUAGUGAUGAUGCCAGCAGGCUGACAGCCGACAGAAAGAUUCAGGUUGCCUCGAAAUUUUACCCAAGCCAUGCCGCACACUCGGGCCAGGCCUUUUGCGAACGACGUAUAACCAGGCUCAACGCAUCAGGGUCGAGGGAGUCCGGAGAUCAAGGCAAUCUGCUGUGCAACCAGCGUGCAACCUUUGGUGACCCCGCUACAUGUGCUACCUAUUUCACAGCUGUGCCUCACCUACCAUCUAUCCAAACAGCAUCACCGGCUGUGAUCACUUAUCGAACCAUGGAUGAAUGUUGGGGUGGAGUGAUUUGAACAGACAUUCUAUUUGUCUCUUCAAAUUCUUUGUAAAUAUUUCUGUUAUAAUUCAUAUGUGUCUUUAGUAUCCCGUUUUUAAUAGUUCCUUUCUCUUAGAAUUCUCACCAUCAGCCCCUGCUAUUCUAAUGUAUACCUGCCUUUAAGCCCCGUUUCUCGUAGUUCUUUCGUACUUGUGGAUGUAAUUAAUAGGUUAUUAAUUCUUGUUGUACGGAAGGCUAAAAUACGAACUUACGGCAUUUUUUCUUCCUUUGAUAAUCUACAGCACUGCAAUGUGUUCAAGAAAUGUAACAUAACACGGGCUCUGGUGCAGGAUAAAUUUAAGAGCAAUAUAGAGUACUUAUUUCAAGCACCCAUUAUUUUUUUAAAAACUCAAGGAUAUAGGAGCACAAGAAAGAAACUAUUGAACUAGAGAAACAUUGGUUCCCCUCAUAAGUCUGGUAAUAAUGUGACUUCUUUCACUGCAAAGAUACUGGUACUCGCAUACAAGGUUUGAGACAUGAAAGCUAUGGUACCCUUGGCAUUUCUCAGUGCUUAUUUGCCACACUGACGAAUGUCAAAGGCAGCAUAGGUUUCAUGCACACAUUGGUUGUAUUACACCUUCUGAGUAUUGCAUUCCUCAAACACACGGGUUUGCAGCAGUGCUUUAAAUAGCAGAUGUAUUUCCUAAUUUUCAGAAUUUCUUAGUGCAAGAGUAACGCUACAGAUCAUGUAAAAAUAAUUUUACAGACUAUAUGUCCAUGGAUGCAUGUUUCUUCUGAUGACGUAGCAGUGCCAUGUGGUCGGGGGAUGAAUGUCUAUUUCAGAUUUAAAUAUUGGCUUCCAGGCCUCGGUUAGUCUCCUACACUGAGUAUUCUAGGUCAAAGCCCAGUUACUAGAGGAAAGUGAAUAAAACUAGGAAUUAUAAACAUCAAAAGAUCUUGUUCGGGACACUAAUGUAACAAUCAGCAAGGUUCUUUGUGCAUUCAUUUCCAGAUUUGCGAGAUUAUAUUUUGACUGGUUUCAUUAAUGCGAGAACAAAUAUUUGUUUAUUCUCAUGCUAGAGUUGGCUGCCCCCAUUCGCAUACAACCCCUUUACAGGCUAAAAAUUAAGUGUAUUAAUACGCUGUUUUUCGGUUUUGCGCCCUCAGUGUUAAGGGAUGCAAACGGUGACAUACAACAGAAUGCAGAAAAAUGUCUAAGGAAUGCAAGCAGGGCAUAGGACUUUUUAGACAGAUGCAUGCGUGUGCUAUUUAUAAAACUCCCUAUGGUAUGCCUCAAGGCGUUUUGUAACCCUUUGGUAGAGACACUGACACCCACUUAUUAAGGGGAAAUGCUCCUCGAAACAACUUUUUUAAUUUGUACUAGAAAUUUGAGUGUACUGCUAUUCAUAGGGAGUUUUAUGUAGAUUUGAAUUGUCAUUGUUUUUGUGUAGCUGGUGUUUAGUUAUGUCCUACAUAGUGGCAAUAUAUUUUUAUGGGCACUUGUGUGUAAAAGUUUCGCAAAUGGUUUCAUGCUGUAUCUUAUUUAGCUAGGUGUAUACCGCAAAGUGGCGAUACCUAUCCAAACAGCUUGUACAAAACUGGAAUUAUGCAAAAAAUAUUAGGCCACUUUAAAUAAUUUUUAGAUUGCAAUUUCAAUUAGAUACUGGUAUUCUGCUUAUCUUGAAGAGUAUGUAUGCCAAAUUUAAUUUGUAUAGGACAAUUAUAAAGCACGAGGUUAUUGUCAGCUAUUGUGAGAAAAAAUUAUUGAAGUAUUCUCAAUAAUUUUAGUAGCAGGCCUGCCUGCCUGCCUGCCUACUAAUCUUGCAUACUUCUAGUAACUUUACGUGCUGUUUGAAUAGAUAUCGGCACCUGGCAGUCUACAGGGAGCUGAGUUAGCUGCAGCACACUGCUUUUUUGUGAAAAUUUAAUACACAAGAAAGUUCCCGCAAAUAUCACUAUGUAUUUUGCCGUUGUAUAGGACAUAACUCAAGAAGCAGCUAAACAAAAACUAAUGGAAUAUAUGAAAUCUGCAUGAAGAACUCUACAAUUGGCUCUCUUUUGAAACCUCUAGUACAAAUAAUAAAAAUAUUUCGAGUAAUAUUCAAUCAGCAAAACGUUGCCCUUGCUACAGUGACCUACAACAUAGCGACGCAAAGCUUAAGGCAAGUCCUCUUGUCGAAGCGAAUAUGGGCUGUCUUCCCAAGGGCUUCUGUUAAAGACGGUGAAUUUUUCUGCAUUUACCAGAAGUGCAAUACUAAAAUGUUUGUGAAUGUGUGAUUGGUAUUGGCACACUAACAGAAAAAAAGACAGUUCUGUGAAAUGUAGACUUGAGACAUGACUUUGUUGGACAUUUAAAUUUUGACUCCAUAUAUUUGUGUUUUGUACUGAGUGUUUCACCGGUGACUGCCACUAAUUAUUGAACAUAACUGCUUCAUGACAGUGUGACAAUUUUCACUAACAUAAAUUUUAGCUGUGGCAGGCAUUAGAAUUACAGUACUCAAUAACGUCUACUUUGUAAGAACUCAGACUAGCACCAGUUCUGAGAUACAUAUACCCAAAAAGUAAUGAUCAAAUAGAUUUCUUUUCCACACAGAAUUGUCCUACAAGGAUUACAGAAGGCUUUUUGGCAAAGUAAUAUCCGAAAGAGCAAAGCAUGUUCCACCAAGUAUGGUGACAAAUAUUUCAGAUCUGCCAGUCUGAGGACUCCUACAAACUAACAAUACCUUCAGCACUGACUAGCUUCAAUAAUGGGAUGUCAGUGUUUUGCUAAAAUUAAUGAAACUUCAAUUAUUGUGAUCUUGUUCAAGAAGACAUAUGUAAUUAACAUGCAGUUCUAAUCUCUGUCACUUUUGUAAAUAUUUGCCAAUUAUUUUUUCAGGCUACAAUUUUUGGUAAUAAUGGUAUUCAUUGCAGAAAAAGCUAGUACAUGGCAUUUACAGGGUGUCUACCAACCGGGAAAACCGGGAAAACCGGGAAUUCUCAGGGAUUUUGAGUAGUCUGGAAAAAGUCAGGGAAAACUCAGGGAAUUUGGGCGUCUAUCAGGGAAAAUUAGCGGCACUUUUAUAGGAAGGGUCGAAAGUCGCGGUAAUGCUGGCUCGAGCAGCAGACAGGAAUCGCAGUGAAUCGUCUUUGACGCCCUGUGGUCGGCUGGAUGAGUUGCCAGUGUGCAGUCAAUGACGGACUUUCCGAAUUCCCGAUAAUUUGGACGGCUUCGCGGCACCGCCACGUACCCCAUAGAGUAAACGCAUCAGAACGUGUGAAAUUUCGGACGCAAGAACCCUUCGCCGUCCGAUUUUCCGGACGUUUUGUCGUGACCGCAGGUCCGAAGCGGCAAUAAUCAAAGGUACCACCGCUGCCGUUUCGAUUACUUCGCCACCUCGAACCGGCACUCUCGCGCGCAGAUCCGCUGGCAGCCGUUACCACCACUGCGGCAACGCUAGGCCUAGCUGCUUCGACGUUCGCUAUAAAGCUUCUUGCCGUUUGGUGCUGAGUUUUCUAUUGAAAGAAUUAGCUGCUGUCAGCAAUGGCACGGACUCCGCUUUUGUGGUCCUCGCGAUUGGCUUAAAAACUUAGAAAACACGGUGCGUUGCAUAAUGCCGGUUCCCGAAAGUCAGCUUCGCCUUUGUACAGAAGUGUUACGUGGUGAAGCAUACGCAAAGUAUUGCAGUGAAGCAUAACAAGCGUGGGAAGGGGCUAUUGCCACGGAAAACAGUAUGUAUUCCUUAAUUAUACACACGUGCACCCGGUAUUUCCUGUCACAGUACGAGCACCGAUAUGCCUAAUAUGUGUACCGACAGGCCUUCAGAGCGUUUUCGAACGUGCCUGUGGAGGUUUGAGCCCCUAAGGGCAGUAAAUGACACGCAUUAAUUUUUUUCCAACUGGCCGAUUUUUCGAACGUUUUCGCGACCCCUAGGGAGUUCUAAAAUCGGCCGCGGACUGUGCAACUGACCAGGAUGCUUCAAAUGGUCCUUGGGGCAAACGAGUGGCAGAAGGAGGACAAGAACAGAAAUGAUGUACGCAUUGAGGAAUAAAUGGGAAAGGAAGCUUGCUGCCGCCGUUUUGAAGGAGCUUGGGCUCAAAAAACAGUUUUGGCUGAUGCCGAGAUGCAGGUGUCCCGCAUCCAAACCAAAAUAAACUCUAUAAAGCAGUGAAACACAACACUCAGGCGUCGUGCGCGGGCUGAGAGUAUGUCGAGACAGUUGAGGUUGACUUACGAGCGGUUAAGAGAGAAUCUCAAUUGUGACAGAGUUCGGACCUCAUACCACUGAGCUUGCUAUCAGUUGAUAGAGAUCGCUCAUAUAUUCAAAUAUAUUCGCUUCUAUGUGCAUCUCCUUUUUAUUCGUAUUUGUGAAUGUCCGACUUAUUUGCAAUUUUUUUCGAGGACACUUUAUUUGCUGUGCAUUUUACUAACCCCUGCCUUCUAUUCUCUUUUUGAAUAACAUAAACACUACUGCUUAGUAUUCAAAUUGGAUUAAGUAGCUUCUUUAAUUUUUUUCAUGUGCCUACUAGGGAGUGACAGCCUCAGGCGACAUGUUUUCAGCCCGUCUUGACAUAAAACAUAGUUCUGCAUCACCCAGGGAAAUUUGCAAUAGCACUCAGGGAAAACCUGGAAAACUCAGGGAAUUUGGAAAUGUCAACUUGGUAGACACCCUGCAUUUAAUAAAGAAGGUACUGGUCAUUGUAGAUUUUCUGUCUUCAGCAUUUGUUCUGUUCCACAGCUGUUUCUUGAAAUCUGAAAUGAUGUACCCAUCACUUUGUUAGCGAUCAACAGGGAAAUCUGUCAGUAUGUUUUGUUUAAAAUGGAGCUGAUCAACCCAAUAGUUAGGCUAUUUGCUAAUUAUAAAUUACAAUGAUAAUAGUACAGGACCAUAAGAACAGACUGAUGCUGAAUAACAGCUGUGCCCAGCUACAUCCACGCAGGUUUGCCACACAAUGUGCAUGUGUUCAGAAGAGCCAAAUGCCCCAGAGAGAAAGCAACAGUAACUAAUUGUUCGUCAUCUUGUACAAGCAGAUUAUGCGCUAGAUGUAAAUCAUGCUCAGUAAAUACAUAAGUCAGUCAUGUGAGGUGUCUCACUUUUGGUUGCAAGUUGGAACUUAUUGCAAUCUUGGUUGUUUUUAUUUUGUUUCCUUUGUGAGCAUGAGUGACUUAGUUGCCUUGGCACAUAUUAUCAAAACUGUUUCUUCAUCACUGGGAAUCACAAAAUUUCAAUUACACAUAAAAUUUCCAGUUACUGAUAUGGUAGACUUCGAAGUUAAUUCUCUCAUCUACCAAGUAGUUUUAUCAUUCAUUGAAACAUAUCCAUGCAAUGCACAAUGGGAACCCAAAUUAUAAAUAUCUGUUCUUGCUUUCUACCCUGCUCUACAACAUUAUGAAGAUACAAAGCAAAACUAUAAGCUUACAAUUGUCCCCCAUAACCUGAGUUUCGCUUAGAAUUUGAAAAACAAAACUGACAUCCUGCUAUAGUGUGAGAGUUGCUUUGGGCACCAAGUGAACUGCGUAGCACCUGUGCUAGAGUACACAACAAAGCAGAAAAUCGCACCAGAUUGCAAUGGCAGUGGUAAGUUAAGAACAGAUGUUUUAUUUCACGCACCAUUAAUGUGGCCUAUCAUCUGCUCCUGUUUUGUGGGAACGCAUACAUUGGGAAGACAAUUUUUUGCACCAAUCUUACCUUAGUGGGACACUUGAGAAAGGUAGAAAUCAAGAACAGGUAUUCACACUUUGUUGCCCACAGUGUAUUUAUUAUCUGAAUGUGUUUCACUCUACAAAAGACUACUGUGGUAGAUAAUCAUAAAGACCAAGACAAAAGAAUUAAAAGAAGUAUGUGUCAGUCAUCCUUCCAUGAUCUCCCGUGUUUAUAGAAACACUUCUUUCUGCAUAUGUGCGAAAGUGUAGGGAAGCAUUACAUAACUCAGUCAUGCUUUCCAAGUUAAAAAUCGGAAUAAGGACGAUCACAAGAACAUUGUAUGAGUGAUUUGUAAAUGUGGCAUCUAAUGGAACUUAUUUACGCAUGUGCUGAGGGUACAUUACAGCCAGUGCAUAAUCUGUCUGCUCUUACAGGAUAGCUUGUGAUGAGUAAAAGAAGCCUUCCUCACAUUUUCCUCUUUGUUUCUUUUGGACCUCGGUGCACCAUGUGUAUUGUUACAGCUGCAUGCAUGCAGCUGGGUAUAGUUUAUGUGUUCUGCUAGCUCCCUUGUCCUCAUUAUUCAUGUGCUAUCUUUGCCGUAACAAAAUACUGCUACCUGUGCUACAUAUUUUGUCAGCGUGUUUGCAUUAUGGCAAGUUUUGUAUUAGUGGUUAUUGCAAUCUGCGAAAUUGUCUGUCAGCUAUCAUACUUCGUCUUGAAAAGUAUGUUUGUCAACAUAAAUAAACAAUUAGUAUAAAUUUUGCUCUAUUUAUUUUUGUAAUAUUAUCUGUUGUGAAGCUUUUAUACACUGUUGCAUGUUGUAUGACAAUAAAAUUGAUGCACAACUU
Dermacentor albipictus is the source of this 8161-nucleotide long non-coding RNA. RefSeq lists it as uncharacterized. NCBI's taxonomy places the organism in Eukaryota, Metazoa, Arthropoda, Arachnida, Ixodida, Ixodidae. The record is from RefSeq and is a predicted model, not a curated record.